This 5633-nucleotide long non-coding RNA is filed under the name Mus musculus (house mouse). Its description in RNAcentral is "long non-coding RNA chr9:7321272-7326905". Lineage: Eukaryota; Metazoa; Chordata; Mammalia; Rodentia; Muridae. The record is from RNAcentral.
ACUUCUCAAGUUUGCAGUCAGACUUUGACUCAGAAACACCUAUGUGUUUGAGAUGCCACCGAGUAGACAAGACAAGACCUGCAAAGUAGGACCUGGGAAUUAAACAGGGCAAGGAGAAGAAAGGGUGGGGGCAAGGCCAUGGACCAGAAGCCUUGAGCUAGACCAAUGACUCAUGGUGGCAGAGAGAGAGAGAGAGAGAGAGAGAGAGAGAGAGAGAAGAAAGAUGGAGGGAAGGAAAGGAGCAAUAUGUACUGGUGGAGAGAAACUGACCCAUGUCAAUGUCUGAGGCCUGAGAUGCUUCCAGUGUCCAUUUCAAUGUGCAUUGCCUGUACUGUUGACUACAGCCUGUUUGCUGUCUGUGGUCCCUGCUGCAGUAUCUAUGGCCUGUGUUACCACCAAAGGGCAUAUCUCUUGUCUAUGCUGACUAUAUGACUAUAUAUGACUAUAUGAACUAUAUGAACACAAUAUAAAUUGGACAUUUUAAAAAUCUUUGGGAGGAGGGGUAAACCUGGGAGGACUGGGAAGUAAGGAUGAUCUUAGUGCAUUAUGUGAAAGUCCAAAAUAAUCAAUAAAAAUAUUAAGUUAGAAAAAUAAAUCUUAAAAAAAGUCAAAGUUUAAAAAGAAAGUGAGAGUCUGAAUUUGAGGUCCAGCACUCUCCAAACUGAUCCUCUAGCCAGUUCUCUUUGUUUCACCUUUCUCUGCACUGAAAUGAGGAGAGGAACUGUUCACUCCGAAUAGCAACAUCAGUAUCUCUAAUAGUAAAGCAAUACUGCAGAUAAAUAUUGUUAGGUGUUUGCAGAGCUUGUGCACUCUCCUUGCUUUCAUUUCUUCCUCCACCUUCCCUAAAACCUACAAUCAUCUCACAUCUCUAAGGGCUUAGUCCUGUGCAGAGAUGACUUUGGCUUCAAUCACUGAAAUGAUCAUUUAAUAGACCUAUUCUCUCUCUCUCUCUCUCUCUCUCUCUCUCUCUCUCUCUCUCUCUCUCUCUCUCUCUCUCUGUGUGUGUGUGUAUGUGUGUGUGUGUGUGUGUGUGUGGUCCAAAUGUUGCAGAAUAUCUUUUCUGGUAAAUAUUGGGUGUGUUACUCUCGACCUUAUCUUUUGAUACAGGAUCUCUUGCUGAACCUGGAGUUCACGGAUAAAUUGAGACUAGUUGGCCAGCAAUCCUCAGGGAUCCUCCCGUCUCCAUUUCUUUCUCCUGUGCUGACUGCAGAUGUGCUCCACCAUACCUGGUGUAUGUGGUGCUGGAGACUGAACCUAGGCUUCUUGCAUGCUAGGCAAGUGCUUUAUCAACUGAGCCACAUCCUGGUCUCCACUUAAAUUAUCGUACCCUGAGUAAUUUCAUCCACAUUCACUCAUAUUUAAACCCAAGGGAUUACAAGGAAGGAAUCAAGCACCAUGUCCAUACUGACUGCAGCUAGAUCUGAUGUGUUCAUCAUUCAGGAAAGUGUGUGGGUCGUAAAAAUGUUAUCCUUCCUUUAGGUUUUUAUUAGUUCUUCCAAUUCUAUUAGUUUAAAAUCUGCUAGCUUCAAGCUGGGAUUUCCUAGUCAUUGUCCCAAUAAAUUUAAGAAAUGGGUUCUGUAUGGAUUACUCAACAAAAAAGCUAAUACCAGCUUGACAGCAAACACAAGUGGAAACAAGCUGCAUCUUGUAUUUCCUUUGUGGUUUUUAAAAAAUGACUAAUUUGUGAGAAAAGAAAAAAACACCUAAAACACAUUCCAAAAAACUAUAAAGAGACAUAUGCUUAAUUAAUAUCCUAGAUGCAAUUGCUUCACUCAUGGGGUUUCUUGUCAUAUGCUGAUCUGUGUAGUCUCCUCACUACACUGGAAGGUCCCUUUUACCAUCAAGUCAAAUUCCAGGAAAUAUAGUAUGAUCCGGAAGUAUAUGGUAUAUACCCUAUGUCUGGUGUCCCUCCUAUUUCAUUGAGUAAAGACUUAUUGAGUUUCCCCCAACUCAUUUGCAAGCAUAAAUAAAUAAUUAAAGAGAGUGGUGAUUUCUCAACCCUGUUAGUGAUUAUAAAGCCACACUCCACUGGGUUUAUUCUCUUAAGCAUUGUAUCUUCACUCUGGCCAAGGAAGCAGGUAAGCUAACUAUAGAUCUUCACCUCUCUCCCCUCCAAAUACAAUGCCCUUAUCACAUUCCCAGAUCUUCAGCAGAACACCUGCUGUUGCCUUGUAUUAAUUAACACCUCCCCUGCACCUAUCUGGGUCACACAGAUCUUUCCCACCUAACCUCCCUCCCUCAAUUCAUUGCUUUAUCCCAGCCUCUGACUCCAGCAGGCAGUCUCUGAAACUCAAAGGCCACUGUGACCAGGAAAGCAGGUAGACAAACUUGAUUUCUCCCUCUGCUCCUCCAAGUCCAACCCCUCAUUCUCAUUUCCAGCUCUCUAACAGACCUUCUUCUGUGGCCUCUCCGCACUCUCUGUCCCCAUUCUCAAAAAACUAAGCACCCUGAUUUUCUCCUUCUUGUGUCUCCCUCAGCAACUCCCUUUCAGCUCAUCACCAUUCCUAAGUGUCAGCUCCCCCAACCUAGAAGUACAUCUUACCCCAGGGCCCCACCUAUCAGUAUCCUAGAAGGAUUUCAUACCAUGUAGCACAGAACCCGAGAAGACUGCAGAAAUCAGGGAACAAAAUACUGACCCAACAAAGACAAAACCAGAUUUCAACACCUAGAAUUACAACCUUCUCAAAGCCAGAUGCCUAGAUACCAGUGUAAAAACACAUUGACAAUAGCCAGGAUAAUAAGUGGUCACUACAUCCCAAAGACCCUAUUACCACAACACACCUUGAGUAUUAUAACAUAGCUGAAGCACAAGAAAAAAAAAACCAUUAAGACAGUCUUUAUAAUACGUUAGAGGCCUUUACAGAGACAAAAAAUAAAUAAGUGAAAGCUAAUUGAGGAGAAUCUGGAAAUAAAAAAAAAUCUAUAAAUUCAAACCUCCAUGGCAAGUUUCAUCAACAGAAUACAAAAGAUAAGAGAAUUUCAGGUACUGAAGAAACAAUAGAAGAAAUAGAUGCAUUGGUCAAAGAAAAUAGUAAAUCUAAAAGAAAAUAGUAAAUCUAAAAAAACCUUUAGCACAAAACAUCCAGGAAAUCUGGGACACUAGGAAGACCAAAUUUAAAAACAAUAAGAUAAUAAGAGAAAAGACACAGGUCCAAAGCACAGAAAAUAUUUUCAGCAAAAUCAGAAGAAAUUUACCCCAAUCUAAGAAAGAGGGGAUGUCUAUCAAAGUACAAGCAAGUAAAAUAGCAAAGAAACUGGUUUCCUCCAUACAUAAUAAUCAAAUCGCUAAAUGUAGAGCACAAAGAAAUAGUAUAAAUAGCUGCAAGGGAAAAAGACCAAGCAACAUACAAAGGCAGACCUGUUAGAAUUGCACCUGACUUCUCACUGGAUGCUCUAAAAGCCAGAAGGGCCUAGACUCAGAGACCACAGAUGCCAGUCCAGAAUACUAUGCUCAACAAAACUUUCAAUAAUAAUAGAUGAAAAAAUAAGAUGUUACCAAGGACACCACAAGAACAAAUCUGGGCCAAUGGGGGCUUACAGAGACUGAACCACCAACCAAAUAACAUGCAGGGGCAGGACCUAGGCACCCUACAUAUUUGGAGCAGAUGUGCAGCUUGGUCUUCAUGUGGGGCCUGACAAUUGGUAUGGGGGUGCUAUUUCUGACUAUGUUGUUAGCCAUUGGAUCCCCUUCCCCUAACUGGACUCCCUCUUGGGCCUCAGUUGGGGAAGAUGUGCUUAGUCCUGUUGGGACUGGAUGUUCCAGGGCACAGUAGUACCCAAGGAGGGUUUCCCUUCUCUGAGGAGAAAGGGAGGGAAUAAUGAAGGGAGGGAUUUGUAGGAGAAGAUGAGAGAGGGUGGAUGUUAUGGGGAUGUAAAGUGAAUAAGUAAACAAAUUAACAAAAAAAGAAAACAUACAAACAAGGGAGAAAAAGAAAAUAAGGCAUUGCAUUAUAAAACCAAAUUUAAGCAAUAUCUAUCUGCAAUAUCCACUCAUUAGUGAGUACAUAUCAUGCAUGUCCUUUUGGGUCUGAGUUACCUUACUUAGGAUGAUAUUUUCUAGUUCCAUCUGCCUGAAAACUCAGGAUGUCCUCGUUCUUAAUAGCUGAGUAGCAUUCCAUUGUGUAAAUGAACCACAAUUUCUGUAUACAUUCUUAUGCAGUGAGACAUCUGGGUUGUUUCCAGCUUCUGGCUAUCACAAAUAAGGCUGCUAUAAACAGAGGAACACAUGCCCCUGUGGCAUGGUGGGGCAUCGUUUGGGUAUAUUCCCAAGAGUGGUAUAGCUGGGUCUUCAGGUAGAUCUAUUUCCAAUUUCCUGAGAAACCUCCAUAUUGAUUUCCAGAGUGUUGUACCAGUUUGCAAUCCCACCAGUAAUGGAGGAGUGUUCCUCUCUUUUCACAUCCUCUCCACCAUCCUCACCUGAGGAUUUGACCUUAGCCAUUCUGUUUGGUAUAAGGUGAAAUCUCAGGGUCACUUUGAUUUCCAUGUCUCUGAUCACUAAGGACUUUGAACAUUUCUUUAGUUGCUUCUCAGUCAUUGGAGAUUCCACAGUUGUGAAUUCUUGGUUUAGUUCUAUAUCCCAUUGUUUGAUUGGGUUGUUUGGUUUUUUGGUGAUUAACUUCUUGAGUUCUUUAUAUAUUUUGGAUAUUAGUCCUCUAUCAGAUGUGGGGUUAGUGAAGAUUUUUUUCCCCAAUAUGUAGGUUGCCAAUUUGUCUUGUGAACUAUGUCCUUUGACUUUCAGAAGCUUUCCAGUUUCAUAAGGUCCCAUUUAUCAAUUCUUGAUCCUACAGCAUGAGCCAUUGGAGUUCUGUUUAGGAAAAUUUCCCCUGUACCAAUGAGCUCAAGGCUCUUUCCUAUUUUCUCUUCUCAUAGAUUCAGUGUAUCUGGCUAUAUGUUGAGGUCCUAGAUCCACUUGGACUUGAGCUUUGUACAAGUGACAAAUAUCGGUCUAUUUUUAUUCUUCUACAUACAGAUAGCCAAUUAAACCAGCACCAUUUAUUGAAGAUGCUUUCUUUUUUCCACUGGAUGGUUUUAGAUCCUUUGUCAAAGAUCAAGUGACUGUAAGUGUGUAGUUUUAUUGCUGGGUCUUAAAUUCUAUUUUAUUGAUGAACCUGUCUGUCUCUGUACCAAUACCAUGCUCUGUAGUAAAGCUUGAGGUCAGGAAUGGUGACUCCCCCAGCUGUUCUUUUAUUGUUAAGAAUUGUUUUCCCUAUUCUGGGUUUUUUUCCUUUCAAGAUGGAUUUGAGAAUUGUUCUUUCCAUAUCUUUGAAGAAUUGUGAUGAGAUUUUUAUGGGGAUUGCAUUGAAUCUAUAGAUUGCCUUUGGUAGGAUGGCCAUUUUUACUAUGUUAAUUCUGCCAAUCCAUGAACAUGGGAGAUCUCUCCAUUUUCUGAGGUCCUCUUCAAUUUCUUUACUGAGAGACUUGGAGUUAUUGUCAUACAGGUCUUUUACUUGCUUGGUUAGAAUUGCCCCAAGAUAUUUUAUAUUAUUUGUAGCUAUUGUGAAGGGAUUUGUUUCCCUAAUUUCUUUCUUAGCCUGUUUAUCAUUUGUAUAAAGGAAGACUACUGAUUUAUUUGAGCUAAUUUUAUAUCCAACCACUUUGCUGAAGUUGUUUAUCAGCUGGAGAAAUUCUCUGGU